Molecule: ribosomal RNA, 465 nt
Filed under: uncultured bacterium
Lineage: Bacteria
Description: partial 16S ribosomal RNA
Rfam family: Bacterial small subunit ribosomal RNA
Source: RNAcentral
CCUACGGGAGACAGCAGUAGGGAAUCUUCCACAAUGGGCGAAAGCCUGAUGGAGCAACGCCGCGUGGGUGAAGAAGGUCUUCGGAUCGUAAAACCCUGUCGUUAGAGAAGAAAGCGCGUGAGAGUAACUGUUCACGUUUCGACGGUAACUACCCAUAAAGCCACGGCUAACUACGUGCCAGCAGCCGCGGUAAUACGGAGGUGGCAAGCGUUAUCCGGAUUAAUUGGGCGUAAAGGGAACGCAGGCGGUCUUUUAAGUUUGAUGUGAAAGCCUUCGGCUUAACCGGGGUAGUGCAUUGGAAACUGGGGCACUUGAGUGCAGAAGGGAGGAGUAGAACUCCAUGUGUAGCGGUGAAAUGCGUAGAUAUAUGGAGGAACACCAGUGGCGAAAGCAGCUCUCUGGUCUGUAACUGACGCUGAGGUUCGAAAGCGUGGGUAGCAAACAGGAUUAGAUACCCCGGUAGUC